CGGAGUACCUGGAGAAAAACCCUCGGAGCAAGGCGAGAACCAACAACAAGCUCAACCCACAUACGGCAGCCAUCCACAAUUUAACCUGGGCUACAUUGGUGUGAAGUGAAGGCUCUCACCACUGAGCCAACUCUGCUACCCAGUUUAAGUUUGAAGUUUCCAGUUUGACAACAUAUCUGUAUUGGUCAAAAGUUAAAAUGUCAAAAUGAGACAGGAGAAUUUUAUGAUGUUACGUUAGCUUUCAUGAUUACAUUGACCAGGGAUAUAUGCAAGGCAAGAAUUGUACACUGCAUGAUGUGAAUGUGAAUUCAGCAACCAGUGUUGCGGAUCAUUUACUUAUUGCAGUGUCUUUCAUUUCUGUAGGUGUCAGCUGGAACAGUGGACAGUGCAAAACAGACAUUAGAGUCUCUUCUUAAGCAGUGUAAUGAGCCGCAAGCUGAUGAGGAACCAAAUAUAGCGUCAGUAAGGGAAAAGGUGCUGCCAACCAUCACGCAACAUCUUGUCAGGGAAAUUGUUUCACCGAACCAGACCAUCAGACAACAGGCCCAAUGUUCUGUAUCUGUACUUGCCAAGAUUUACAACUCAUCAGUUCACAGCAUCAUGCUUCCCCACAAAGCAAUUCUGGAGGACAUGAUUCCACCCAAG
This is a long non-coding RNA of Orbicella faveolata, 645 nucleotides long. Lineage: Eukaryota; Metazoa; Cnidaria; Anthozoa; Scleractinia; Merulinidae. The record is from RefSeq and is a predicted model, not a curated record.